Daktulosphaira vitifoliae (grape phylloxera) is the source of this 515-nucleotide long non-coding RNA. RefSeq lists it as uncharacterized. The record is from RefSeq and is a predicted model, not a curated record. NCBI's taxonomy places the organism in Eukaryota, Metazoa, Arthropoda, Insecta, Hemiptera, Phylloxeridae. The transcript is spliced from 3 exons.
GUUCCCGCCAUCUACACAAAAUUAAAAUUGUACCAGUCAGUGACAGAAGAGGAGUACUUCAAAGCGGUUAGACGAGUUACGUUGGUGACACCAUUUAUGCAAUACAUUAAAUAGAAUGUUAUUACGAAUUGAAAUGAGUAAAUAACAAUUCAAUGUUUUUAAAAAAAAUAUAUUAUUUAGUUGACUUUAGCACUUAAUGCUCUACUUGACCAUAGAUCAUAAUGGGAUUGUUAGAAUGAACCUUGACACGAGUAUAAGGUCUUUGGAGUUAUCAAUGGGUGCUUCGGUAGAAUAAUUCCAGUACUUAGGGAUACGAGGUGUGAAAUAUACUACGAAACGAAGCGUAAAAUAGAGAAUCGUGAAGAAUGGAGGAAUGCUGCCAAUCAGAACUGUUAACGCAAAUAAGAAGAUUAUCCAACAUAGACAUUCAAAUUUUUGAUGAUAAAAUUUACUAAAGAUUUUUUACUUUCAAAUAACGUCAAAGAGUAGUAAUGGUAACUCUGCUUACCGCGUUG